GACAGUUAUUAUUGCCAUGACAAUGGUGAC
This 30-nucleotide non-coding RNA is filed under the name Mus musculus (house mouse). The record is from RNAcentral. Lineage: Eukaryota; Metazoa; Chordata; Mammalia; Rodentia; Muridae.